GAUGAACGCUGGCGGCGUGCCUAAUACAUGCAAGUCGAGCGAACGGACGAGAAGCUUGCUUCUCUGAUGUUAGCGGCGGACGGGUGAGUAACACGUGGAUAACCUACCUAUAAGACUGGGAUAAAUUCGGGAAACCGGAGCUAAUACCGGAUGAUAUUUUGAACCGCAUGGUUCAAAAGUGAAAGACGGUCUUGCUGUCACUUAUAGAUGGAUCCGCGCUGCAUUAGCUAGUUGGUAAGGUAACGGCUUACCAAGGCAACGAUGCAUAGCCGACCUGAGAGGGUGAUCGGCCACACUGGAACUGCGACACGGUCCCGACUCCUACGGGAGGCAGCAGUAGGGAAUCUUCCGCAAUGGGCGAAAGCCUGACGGAGCAACGCCGCGUGAGUGAUGAAGGUCUUCGGAUCGUAAAACUCUGUUAUUAGGGAAGAACAUAUGUGUAAGUAACUGUGCACAUCUUGACGGUACCUAAUCAGAAAGCCCCGGCUAACUACGU
Molecule: ribosomal RNA, 496 nt
Filed under: uncultured bacterium
Lineage: Bacteria
Description: partial 16S ribosomal RNA
Rfam family: Bacterial small subunit ribosomal RNA
Source: RNAcentral